Oryza sativa Japonica Group (Japanese rice) is the source of this 300-nucleotide non-coding RNA. The record is from RefSeq and is a predicted model, not a curated record. Lineage: Eukaryota; Viridiplantae; Streptophyta; Magnoliopsida; Poales; Poaceae.
CGAGGAGUCCCAUCCCAUAUAGGGUUGGUCCUUUUGAUUACCAGUCGGCCGUGAUGUGCGACUGUCGCGUGAAGGCUGCAUGGUGGAUCUCGUGGAGUCCGGACAACCCCAGCCGCCGGUACUUCAAAUGUCGCAAUGCCCAGGGAUUGCAGGAAGGUGGAUGUGGUUUUUAUGCUUGGUAUGAUGGGCCGACGACCACCUUUAUUAGAGAAGUGUUGAAUGAUUUGCGAGAUGCAGUUUGGUCAGCGAGGAGGGAGAAGGAAAGACUUGUUUGGCUAUCCAAGAAGAGAGGAUGAAGGU